GAUGAACGCUAGCUACAGGCUUAACACAUGCAAGUCGAGGGACCGGCGCACGGGUGCGUAACACGUAUCCAACCUGCCCUUUACUCGGAGAUAGCCUUUCGAAAGAAAGAUUAAUACCCGAUAUAAAGGAUGGGGAUGCGUUCCAUUAGGUUGUUGGUGAGGUAACGGUUCACCAAGCCUUCGAUGGAUAGGGGUUCUGAGAGGAAGGUACACCACAUUGGAACUGGGACACUGGCCAAACUCCUACGUGAGACAGCAGUGAGGAAUAUUGGUCAAGGGGCGGUAGCCUGAACCAGCCAAGUAGCGUGAAGGAUGAAGGCUUAUGGGUCGUAAACUUCUUUUAUAUAAGAAUAUGUAUUAUAUGAAUAAGGAUCGGCUAACUCCGUGCCAGCAGCCGCGGUAAUUC
This 406-nucleotide ribosomal RNA is filed under the name uncultured bacterium. RNAcentral describes it as "partial 16S ribosomal RNA". It matches the Rfam family "Bacterial small subunit ribosomal RNA", at positions 28 to 526 of the family's 1533-position model. The record is from RNAcentral.